This 717-nucleotide ribosomal RNA is filed under the name uncultured bacterium. RNAcentral's name for it is "bacterial SSU rRNA". It matches the Rfam family "Bacterial small subunit ribosomal RNA", at positions 61 to 768 of the family's 1533-position model. The record is from RNAcentral.
GUCGACGGCAGCACAGAGGAGCUUGCUCCUUGGGUGGCGAGUGGCGGACGGGUGAGUAAUGCAUCGGGAUCUACCCUGACGUGGGGGAUAACCUCGGGAAACCGGGACUAAUACCGCAUACGUCCUACGGGAGAAAGCGGGGGACCUUCGGGCCUCGCGCGGCAGGACGAACCGAUGUGCGAUUAGCUAGUUGGCGGGGUAAUGGCCCACCAAGGCGACAAUCGCUAGCUGGUCUGAGAGGAUGAUCAGCCACACUGGGACUGAGACACGGCCCAAACUCCUACGGGAGGCAGCAGUGGGGAAUAUUGGACAAUGGGCGCAAGCCUGAUCCAGCAAUGCCGCGUGUGUGAAGAAGGCCUUCGGGUUGUAAAGCACUUUUAUCAGGAGCGAAAUACCACGGGUUAAUACCCUAUGGGGCUGACGGUACCUGAGGAAUAAGCACCGGCUAACUUCGUGCCAGCAGCCGCGGUAAUACGAAGGGUGCAAGCGUUAAUCGGAAUUACUGGGCGUAAAGGGUGCGUAGGCGGUUACUUAAGUCUGUCGUGAAAUCCCCGGGCUCAACCUGGGAAUGGCGAUGGAUACUGGGUGGCUAGAGUGUGUCAGAGGAUGGUGGAAUUCCCGGUGUAGCGGUGAAAUGCGUAGAGAUCGGGAGGAACAUCAGUGGCGAAGGCGGCCAUCUGGGACAACACUGACGCUGAAGCACGAAAGCGUGGGGAG